GCCCCGAUAGCUCAAUUGGAUAGAGCAUCGGCCUUCUAAGCCGAGGGUUCCAGGUUCGAAUCCUGGUCGGGGUG
RNAcentral lists this transfer RNA (74 nucleotides) under Planctomycetota bacterium. RNAcentral's name for it is "tRNA-Arg". It matches the Rfam family "tRNA". From Rfam's summary of the family: Transfer RNA (tRNA) molecules are approximately 80 nucleotides in length. Their secondary structure includes four short double-helical elements and three loops (D, anti-codon, and T loops). Further hydrogen bonds mediate the characteristic L-shaped molecular structure. tRNAs have two regions of fundamental functional importance: the anti-codon, which is responsible for specific mRNA codon recognition, and the 3' end, to which the tRNAs corresponding amino acid is attached (by aminoacyl-tRNA synthetases). tRNAs cope with the degeneracy of the genetic code in two manners: having more than one tRNA (with a specific anti-codon) for a particular amino acid; and 'wobble' base-pairing, i.e. permitting non-standard base-pairing at the 3rd anti-codon position. Lineage: Bacteria; Pseudomonadati; Planctomycetota. The record is from RNAcentral.